RNAcentral lists this non-coding RNA (30 nucleotides) under Mus musculus (house mouse). The record is from RNAcentral. Lineage: Eukaryota; Metazoa; Chordata; Mammalia; Rodentia; Muridae.
UAAAGUUAGUGGUAAGCCUGGCCUCAGGUC